Molecule: ribosomal RNA, 371 nt
Filed under: uncultured organism
Description: bacterial SSU rRNA
Rfam family: Bacterial small subunit ribosomal RNA
Source: RNAcentral
ACGUAGGGUGCAAGCGUUAAUCGGAAUUACUGGGCGUAAAGCGUGCGCAGGCGGUUUUGUAAGUCUGUCGUGAAAUCCCCGGGCUCAACCUGGGAAUUGCGAUGGAGACUGCAAGGCUAGAAUCUGGCAGAGGGGGGUAGAAUUCCACGUGUAGCAGUGAAAUGCGUAGAGAUGUGGAGGAACACCGAUGGCGAAGGCAGCCCCCUGGGUCAAGAUUGACGCUCAUGCACGAAAGCGUGGGGAGCAAACAGGAUUAGAUACCCUGGUAGUCCACGCCCUAAACGAUGUCUACUAGUUGUCGGGUUUUAAUUAACUUGGUAGCGCAGCUAACGCGUGAAGUAGACCGCCUGGGGAGUACGGUCGCAAGAUUA